RNAcentral lists this ribosomal RNA (244 nucleotides) under uncultured bacterium. RNAcentral's name for it is "partial 16S ribosomal RNA". It matches the Rfam family "Bacterial small subunit ribosomal RNA", at positions 528 to 772 of the family's 1533-position model. The record is from RNAcentral.
UAGGGGGCGAGCGUUAUCCGGAUUCAUUGGGCGUAAAGCGCGCGCAGGCGGGCUCGUAAGCGGGACCUCUAAUCUCGGGGCUCAACCCCGAGCCGGGUUCCGAACUGCGAACCUCGAGUGCGGUAGGGGAGGUCGGAAUUCCCGGUGUAGCGGUGGAAUGCGCAGAUAUCGGGAAGAACACCGACGGCGAAGGCAGACCUCUGGGCCGUCACUGACGCUGAGGCGCGAAAGCUAGGGGAGCGAA